Molecule: long non-coding RNA, 520 nt
Organism: Rhopalosiphum padi (bird cherry-oat aphid)
Lineage: Eukaryota; Metazoa; Arthropoda; Insecta; Hemiptera; Aphididae
Exons: 4
Source: RefSeq, a predicted model, not a curated record
UCACGAUGAAGAUCGAUAUGAAGAAAAUUUUCAGUUUCUUCGGCGGCGGUGCACCACUCCGUAUAGACUGAAGAUUGAAACAACUCGGUUUCCCGGGAACAGUCUACGAUUACAAUAUUUUAAUAAUUUCAUUCUGAAGCUCAAAGAAGACGAAUGAAGAAAUAAGAGCUAGCUGUUUCUUCGGCGGUGAUGGUGCACGUUUGAACUGUAAAUGUGGUGCAGCUCGAUUUCGCCGAACAGCGUCGAAGAAUACUUACAAUCACGAUGAACAUCGAUAUGAAGAAAAUUUGCAGUUUCUUCGGCGGCGGUGCACUACUACGUAUAGUCUGAAGAUUGACACAACUCGGUUUCACGGGAACAGUCGACGCUUAAAUCUUGCCAUAAUAUCGGAAAAACAAAAAAACUGAAAUAAUUACGCUAUAAUGUCAACCCGGAGGACGAUUGACAGUAUCAUUAAGAAGAAGCACAUCUGAAGAACAAAAAUUAGUGUCGCAAGGCUGUGUUUGUUUAAUAAUAUAAU